Molecule: long non-coding RNA, 545 nt
Filed under: Crocodylus porosus (Australian saltwater crocodile)
Lineage: Eukaryota; Metazoa; Chordata; Crocodylia; Crocodylidae
Description: lncRNA (ENSCPRG00005018244.1)
Source: RNAcentral
CGGCGGCGCACGCCCCCCCCGGGAGCGCAGGGCAGGCCCGCCCGCACUGCCUCUCGCGAGAGCUGCGGCGCAGCAGCCGCGGGCGGAGCGGAGCUGAGCAGAGCGGCGCGGGGAGCGGGUGAGCUCACCCCGAGCGCAGCGCCGAGCCGAGUCUCCCGCCGCCGCCGCAACUUUGUUGGAUGAAACUCCUCCAUUGAAAUUGAUUUAGCAUUGAUUCUGUCAGAAGGAAUGGAAACCUCAAGAUUCAGAUGAACCCAGAAUUAACUAGAAGAACUGAUGAACAGAGUUGUGCUGUUGAAAUGAACACGACUACUACCAGAAGUGAGAAGUAUAAAAUUGCUUUUGCUUAUUACACAUUUAUCAAGAAUCUAGAUGACCAAACUUUUUGCUGGAGUUGCUUUCAGUUGUGGAGUACUCUGAUUUGGAAGCUGACAGAAGAAUGGAAAGAAGGUUGCAGCUUCUGCCAAUUUCUGUAUCCCUUCACUUCAAAAUGCCUGGUUAUGAGUAAAGUUGCAAUGCUGGAGAAAGCCGCUGCUUAUCUGUAA